GUGGCGCACGGGUGCGUAACGCGUGGGAACCUGCCCUUAGGUUCGGAAUAACAGUUAGAAAUGACUGCUAAUACCGGAUAAUGUCUUCGGACCAAAGAUUUAUCGCCUUUGGAUGGGCCCGCGUUGGAUUAGAUAGUUGGUGGGGUAAUGGCCUACCAAGUCGACGAUCCAUAGCUGGUCUGAGAGGAUGAUCAGCCACACUGGGACUGAGACACGGCCCAGACUCCUACGGGAGGCAGCAGUGGGGAAUAUUGGACAAUGGGCGAAAGCCUGAUCCAGCAAUGCCGCGUGAGUGAUGAAGGCCUUAGGGUUGUAAAGCUCUUUUACCAGGGAUGAUAAUGACAGUACCUGGAGAAUAAGCUCCGGCUAACUCCGUGCCAGCAGCCGCGGUAAUACGGAGGGAGCUAGCGUUGUUCGGAAUUACUGGGCGUAAAGCGCACGUAGGCGGCUUUUCAAGUCAGGGGUGAAAUCCCGGGGCUCAACCCCGGAACUGCCCUUGAAACUGGAUGGCUAGAAUACUGGAGAGGUGAGUGGAAUUCCGAGUGUAGAGGUGAAAUUCGUAGAUAUUCGGAAGAACACCAGUGGCGAAGGCGACUCACUG
Molecule: ribosomal RNA, 601 nt
Filed under: Qipengyuania pelagi
Lineage: Bacteria; Pseudomonadati; Pseudomonadota; Alphaproteobacteria; Sphingomonadales; Erythrobacteraceae
Description: bacterial SSU rRNA
Rfam family: Bacterial small subunit ribosomal RNA
Source: RNAcentral